This is a long non-coding RNA of Cyprinus carpio (common carp), 1802 nucleotides long. NCBI's taxonomy places the organism in Eukaryota, Metazoa, Chordata, Actinopteri, Cypriniformes, Cyprinidae. The record is from Ensembl.
UUCACUUUUAUUAGUGUAUAUCCCAUUAUUUACCAUGCAUAAAAUUAUUCCACCAUUUUGAGCUUUCUGUUAAACCUACUUUUUAAAGUCCUCCCAGAUCAUUUGUCCAGUUAAACUUAAAUGAUGUAUCAUCAACAUACAUAUGGAAAUUUCUUUUACAUAAGAAAUUAAUGCCUUAAUAUUUUGAUUUGGCCUAACUAUGGCCCACAGUUUGGGAAGCACUUAGAAUCUACCCACACAAACUGAGUCCAAAUUGAGUCUGAGUCCAGACUGUCUUUGCAAAGUUUGAACUGCCCAACUAUAGAAACAGCUGUUGUGCCACAGAUGCACUGCAGGCUACUGAUUCAGGAAACAGUCCUCAUCCUCCAUAAAAUGCGCAGUACACAUCUGAAUAUUUGGGUUGGAGUGUUCUGGAAUAUUAGUCGAGUCCCAAAAUAGAUAAAUAGCCCUGGAUAAGAUGCAGUAGGCAUUUUUGAGGAAAAGUACUUCAAGUGUUGUUUCUAUAUGAUUUUUAGGUGCUGAAUCCAUUUCUGCUGUAUAACAACUUGUAAACAUCACUGUUUUGGCAUAAACAAUAAAAACAAAAUGGCUGCCAAAAAAAAAAAAAAAAACAUUUUAAUGCAUUUAUUGCAGUUUAAACAUUAAACAUUAGAACUAAACUGUGCAUACUCAGAAUAUUUAAACAUGUAAAUUGAAAAAACAACAUUAACAUGAAAGGGACAGUUUUUAAUGUUUAAAUGGCUGCUGUAACUAAAAUUUCAACAAAAUCAAGCAACGAUACUGUGAUCACAGAUAUUCCAAAAGUUAUUCGUUCAUACAAGUAUCAUUGGACUUUCUGCAUUUGCAAGAUGCAGUGCAUGAAUUAGGCUUGCAGCUGCAUCGGGCUGUCUUGCAUCCAGUGGUGCAGGCACAGGUGAUUAACUCCUCACAGGCAUCUGGAACUGGGGGUAGUGACAUGAGUUGAGGAAUAAGGGAAUUCCCCUCUGUCUUCCAUCCCAUGGUUUCAGGGGGUGGCAGAACUGGCUGCUGCAAGUGGGCCUGCCGCCAGACCAAAGCCUGGAAGUGAGAGCGCUGAAUGUGGAAGUAGAGAGCGUCUCUGGUUGGGGGCAGUCUUUCUAUUGUCAUGCCCUUGACAAACAUGCUUGCUCGAACUUCAUUGAUGUUAUCAGCAUCCUUUACACCAUAGAGUUUGCAGAAAAACUGUUCUGCAUUCUGAAUGGUGUGGUCACUCAGUUAAGGACCUUUGCCAAGCCCCGAUAGUAGAUGUGAAUACUCUAUGAAAACUUCCCAGCAUGUCUUCUUUGAAUGUCCUACAAUGUAUGAAGUUGAGUUACUCCCAGUGAGAGCAUGGAAACCAGGAAGUAGCUCGAGGACCUGUGGCUCCAUCUGCAGUUGUUCCACUACAGCAUGAACUGGGACGUACUUUCUCUCCUUUGCUGUACUUGUCUUUAUCCAGAUCUUUUGGCAUGGCAUCAUGUGGAAGUGGGCAAUCAGCAGUACCAAGAUGUCGGUGUCUCUUGCAGAGACCAUUUUUGAUGCUUUGCUUCUGAUGCAGUGAAGGAUAAUUCUUGUGUCUGCUUCUUAAUGUUUAGCUUCCAAGCUGUCAGUGUUAAGGGUUGUAUUAGAUGCUUCAACCCUCUCUUCAUCGCUGAAGCCACCUGCAGCAACUAUAAUCUUGGUGUCUGGUGCUCUCACAAUCAGCUGUUGUGAUAGAAAGUGAGCAAGGUCUGCCUUGUUGUCUUUGUGAGCGAUAAAGUUCUCCCAUUUUGUGGGAAGAGGUAAAUCUCUGCCCUCAACUGGUC